GAUCCGUGCAGUUGCCAUUGCAUCAGUGUGACUAAAGCCCUAGAUUUCACAGUGAGGAUUGGAAGUCCCCAGAAAAUUUGAACUUCGUGAAGGAAUGUUAGCUUAAAAACAAACACUGUUAAAAAACCCUACUGACCUCACACAUGUCCCAUGCUUCAGGACUUGGUGGAUUAUCAGGACUGGAAGGAAUGAAACCUACAGAAACUACCCAGUGCUUGGCAAUGCAGUGGAAGAUCAUCAUCUCUGAAUCUGUGUUCCUUAAGAUCAGUAGGCUGCUUUUGCUAAAGCAAACAAGACAGUGCUGCAUUUGCUCAUUGUGAACCUAAUCGACUCCUUGUCAACUGGAUCUGAACUAAAUUGCAAAGCAAAUCCCCGUCUUCAGGGUUUUUCUUGGAAUGACGAUUCCAGGGCAUGUCUAUACUGCUGCAGUCCUGCACUUGCCUGCUGCUAUUGCUGCAUUUAUCAAGAACAUGUCAUGUUACCUCUGGUUAACUUAAAGAAAUCACAGCAGUUCUGACACAUGUUGCCACCCACUUUAUAAUCUGUAUAGAUGCAAUUAGAAUUGAUUGAGCCACUGCAAACAACCAAAGGCAAAACAAAGGUUUCCCAGUAUAUACUUAAUUAAGAUGAUCUAUAAAUAUGGAUUAGGUUAAAAGGCCUUUGAGAUGUGUGCUUGCAUUGUGGUAUGUCUGCUGAUGCAGACAACCCUUUCAAAGAGGUGGCUGCAGCUAGAGGGUAGAGGGACCAGAAGCUGGUGGUUAAGGUCCCUGGCCUGCUGUGGAGCAGCAGAGAUCAGAAGCCUCAUGUCCAGGGCAUGUGAUCAAGCUAGGAACUGAACAGGAAAGGUCUCUCUUGAGGCAAAAAAGGAGGAUGGUUUUCUUUACUGCCCUCCUUGUUUGAAGGAAGAAGGCUUUUAUUCAUUCAUUUACUUACUUAUUUUCAUUCCUGGGUUUAUUAUCAGGUUGAGGAUUAGGGCUUUUUCUACCCCAGAAGUGAAUCUGCCCACUGGCUCACAGUAAUCUAUUCAGCUUUAAUAAAACAGGCAAACUUGAAGGCACCCUCAAGCCAGAGGAUCUGCUGGAGGCAGAGCUGAUCAGUGACACAACUCAAACCAGAGAAAAGAUGUAGAUUUGGAUGACUGGAGGGGGAAGAGGAGCAAGAAAGAAUAAGUAACUUUAGAUUACAGACGUUCCACUGAAAUAGCUUUGGAAGCAUUGUUUACAGUGGAAAUAACCCCAAACCUCCCAGCCUACUCAGUAAUUCCAUGUAAGAUCUGAUCUCUUAUAGAUCCAGGUUUUGAAAAGGUCAAUGAAUCUAUGUUUCUAAACCAAUUCACAUUCUGUUAGUUACGCACAUCUGGACACAGUAUCAAAGAAAAAACUUGUUCUUGAUUUCCCUUUGCAGGGACUUGAGACCAAAAUUAAUACAUAAAUAGGAAUAGAAAAAUGAAUAAAC
Long non-coding RNA from Melopsittacus undulatus (budgerigar), 1455 nucleotides. RefSeq lists it as uncharacterized. The transcript has 4 exons. Lineage: Eukaryota; Metazoa; Chordata; Aves; Psittaciformes; Psittaculidae. The record is from RefSeq and is a predicted model, not a curated record.